UGACAAACGAUGAUCGGGACGAGUAAGCGAUCGAGCGCAGCUUAGAGAGCCGGUGGACGGUGAAAACCGGACUGCUGCUUGCCGCUGAAAAUCACCCGGGAGUUCAAUAACCGAAAGACUGCUGGCUGCGUCGUGCGGCGGUCGAGUAAGUGAGCGCGUCAUUCUCGUUACGAAUGAAUCAAGAGGAACAGGGCUUGUGCCGGUAUAUUUCGGCUGAUUUCUGUUCAAUCAGGGUGGUACCACGGGAGCUUUCUCUCGUCCCUACA
This 266-nucleotide non-coding RNA is filed under the name Brevibacillus borstelensis. Its description in RNAcentral is "T-box sequence". It matches the Rfam family "T-box leader". From Rfam's summary of the family: Uncharged tRNA acts as the effector for transcription antitermination of genes in the T-box leader family. T-boxes are found upstream of many aminoacyl-tRNA synthetase genes and some amino acid biosynthetic genes usually in Gram-positive bacteria. The anticodon of a specific tRNA base pairs to a specifier sequence within the T-box motif, and the NCCA acceptor tail of the tRNA base pairs to a conserved bulge in the T-box antiterminator hairpin. The record is from RNAcentral. Lineage: Bacteria; Bacillati; Bacillota; Bacilli; Caryophanales; Paenibacillaceae.